This 440-nucleotide ribosomal RNA is filed under the name uncultured bacterium. RNAcentral's name for it is "partial 16S ribosomal RNA". It matches the Rfam family "Bacterial small subunit ribosomal RNA", at positions 338 to 795 of the family's 1533-position model. The record is from RNAcentral.
CCUACGGGCGGCAGCAGUGGGGAAUAUUGCACAAUGGGGGAAACCCUGAUGCAGCGACGCCGCGUGAGUGAAGAAGUAUUUCGGUAUGUAAAGCUCUAUCAGCAGGGAAGAGAAUGACGGUACCUGAGUAAGAAGCCCCGGCUAACUACGUGCCAGCAGCCGCGGUACUACGUAGGGGGCAAGCGUCAUACGGAAUUACUGGGUUUAAAGGGAGCGUAGACGGCGAAGAAAGUCUGAAGUGAAAGCCCGCGGCUCAACCGCGGAACUGCUUUGGAAACUUUUUUGCUGGAGUACCGGAGAGGUAAGCGGAAUUCCUAGUGUAGCGGUGAAAUGCGUAGAUAUUAGGAGGAACACCAGUGGCGAAGGCGGCUUACUGGACGGUAACUGACGUUGAGGCUCGAAAGCGUGGGGAGCAAACAGGAUUAGAUACCCCUGUAGUC